AGUGAAGUCUACUGAUAAUUGAAUGGAUGAUGAUGAUGCCACCUCUUUCCGAUAUGUUGUCUUCCUGGUUAAACAUCUUCAGUCGUCUCAGCCAUUCUUCAGUUGGCUGUAAGUCACUCUGUUGGGAAAAUGUUGAUUCUGUCUAUCAGCUCUCCCCUUCUAUGGAAAAGGGUCCUCCUGUUCUCACUCGGUACAUGCCUGUUGUGAGCACUGGGUCCAUGAGCCAGACCUGACUGACCAGUGAGGGGUCUCCAUGUCUUUGUCACCAAAGCAAAGUCCUGCCACUUUACUAACACUGAAGACUCUUGAAAAGAUAAGUUUCUUUCUUUUGAAUUAUGAAUUUUAAGAAUAUAAGCUUGGGCCAAAAUUUAUUUAGCUAGUAUAUUUUGAGGAACUAAAUAUUAUCAUGGUUGUGAGUACUUCAUCAUGUCAAUGUAUACCUCUUUAGAUAUUUUCAACCCAGUGAAUUCAACACAGGUAAAUGGUUAUGUGGAGUUAGAAGGACUGAGAGGAAACCUGAGACUAGGUUGAUCCCCAGCUUAGUAACUGCUGGGGAGGCUGUCACCCCUAAGGCUGGAGAUGACAGAUUGGAAGCUGUGUUAGCAGGUCCUGAAUCUCAGGAGAGGGAGUCUGGGCUGGACUAUGGUGAUAAAUUUCUUAGUCAAAUACCAACCAAAAUACUGUUAUAAGGUUAUUUUUAAGAUGUACAUAGCAUUUAAAACCAGUAGACUUUAGGCAUUUCACCAUAUGUAGUGUGGAUAGGCUUCAUCUAAUAGUUGAAGGACUUAAGAGAGAAGAUUGAGGUUCCCCCACCCAAACAGAACAGAUUUCCUCCUCUUUAGCUAGCAAUAUAGAAAUCCUAACUUUUGGAUUCAAGACUGCGACAUCAGUUCUUACCCAGAUCUCUUUCCAGCCUGCUGACUUGUGUCUUUCAGAUUUGUCAUUCCAAAACUGUGUGAGCCAAUUCCUUAAAAACCUACAGACCGUGUACUCAUGAACCAAUAAUGUUACAAAUACUUCAGGGAGAAAAACAAACCAGAAUAACAUAGAAUGCCUUCAUCAUCUAUUGACAAAUUGGAAGGCACUUCUUAGAAAACAAGCUUUGGGUCUUACCUCAAGGACACGAGAUCCAAUUGAAGGUUCUGGGCAGCUAACACACCAAGUGACCUUAAAAAAGGUGUAUGCCUACUUUGAGCUUUACUUGCUGGAUAAUCUAGAGAGCCAGCCAAGGAAGUAACUUACCCCGUUCAUCACACUUCUCCUACUUCCACCUCCACACCCCUGCCCUUCACUACCAGAAAAAUUUCCUCGAAUUGAAGACCCUGACAUUAAUCCACACACCUAUGAACAUAUGAUUUUCGACAAAGAAGCCAAAACUGUACCAUGGAAAAAAAGAAAGCAUCUUCAACAAAUGGUGCUGGCAUAACUGGAUGUCAACAUGCAGAAGAUUGCAAAUAGAUCCAUAUCUGUCACCAUGCACAAAACUCAAGUCCAAGUGGAUCAAAGACCUCAACAUAAAUCCAGUUACACUGAUAGAAGAGAAAGUAGGAAGUAGUCUUGAAUGCAUUGGCACAGGAGACCACUUCCUAAAUAUAACACCAGUAGCACAGACACUGAGAGCAACAAUUAAUAAAUGGGACCUCCUGAAACUGAGAAGCUUUUGUAGAGCAAAGAACACGGUCAAUAAGACAAAAUGGCAGCCUACAGAAUGGGAAAAGAUCUUCACCAACCUCACAUUUGACAGAGGGCUAAUAUCCAAAAUAUAUAAAGAACUCAAAAAGCUACACUUCAAAAUACUGAACAAUCCAAUUAAAAAAUGGGCUACAGCGCUUAAUAGAGAAUUCUCAACAGAAGAAUCUCAAAUGUCUGAAAGACAUUUAAAGAAUUACCCAACAUCCUUAGUCAUCAGGAAAAUGCAAAUCAAAACAACUCUGAGAUAACCACCUUACACCUGUCAGAAUGGCUAAGAUCAAAAACACUGAAGACAGCUUAUGUUGGAGAGGAUGUGGAGCAAGGGGAAUACUCCUCCACUGUUGGUGGGAAUGCAAACUUUUACAGCCACCCGGAAAUCAGUAUGGCAGUUUCUCAGAAAAUUGGGAAGAAGUCUUCCUUAGACCCAGCUAUACCACUCUUGGGCAUAUACUCAAGGAAUGCUCAAUCUUACCACAAGGACACAUGCUCAACUAUGUUCAUAUCAGCACUAUUCGUAAUAGCAAUAACCUGGAAACAACCUAGAUGCACCUCAACUGAAGAAUGGAUAAAGAAAAUGUGGCACAUAUACACAAUGGAGUACUACUCAGCAGUAAAAAACAAUGAUAUCAAGAAAUUUGCAGUCAAAUGGAUGGAACUUGAAAAUAUCUUCCUGAGUGAGGCAACCCAGACUCAGAAGGACAAACAUAGUAUGUACUCACUCAUAAGUGGAUGCUAGAUGUGAGGGAAGGAAUGGCCAGACUGUAACCCACAGCUCCAAAGAGGCUAGCUAACAGGGAAAGACCCUAGGAGGGACACAUGGACGACCCUGUGAAGGAGAAGUGGAUGAGAUCUACAUGAGCGGACUGGGUGUGGGUGGGUGGAGGGCAAGGUGUGGGGCAUGAGAACAUAGGGAUAUGGGAGGGUCAAGCUGGA
Long non-coding RNA from Peromyscus eremicus (cactus mouse), 2625 nucleotides. RefSeq lists it as uncharacterized. The record is from RefSeq and is a predicted model, not a curated record. The transcript is spliced from 4 exons. NCBI's taxonomy places the organism in Eukaryota, Metazoa, Chordata, Mammalia, Rodentia, Cricetidae.